RNAcentral lists this ribosomal RNA (253 nucleotides) under uncultured bacterium. RNAcentral describes it as "partial 16S ribosomal RNA". It matches the Rfam family "Bacterial small subunit ribosomal RNA", at positions 524 to 776 of the family's 1533-position model. The record is from RNAcentral.
UACGUAGGGGGCUAGCGUUGUCCGGAAUCAUUGGGCGUAAAGCGCGUGUAGGCGGUCCGGUAAGUCCGCUGUGAAAGUCGAGGGCUCAACCCUCGAAUGCCGGUGGAUACUGUCGGGCUAGAGUGCGGAAGAGGCGAGUGGAAUUCCUGGUGUAGCGGUGGAAUGCGCAGAUAUCAGGAGGAACACCAAUAGCGAAGGCAGCUCGCUGGGACGGUACUGACGCUAAGGCGCGAAAGCGUGGGGAGCGAACAGG